Molecule: long non-coding RNA, 1338 nt
Organism: Lolium rigidum
Lineage: Eukaryota; Viridiplantae; Streptophyta; Magnoliopsida; Poales; Poaceae
Exons: 3
Source: RefSeq, a predicted model, not a curated record
UAUGAGAGCCAAUGCCGUAGCUAUUAGGAUUUGUGCAGCUUGUGCAAUCAUACUGAAUGUGACCCCAGGUUGGAUAUGUAUUGUCUGAAUAUCCUUGCUCUCCUUUAGCUCCUCUGCUCAGUACUGUUACAUUUUUUUGGGUGUAUUUGACUGAUUUUUCUUGUGUGUAUUUCUAAUUCUUCUGCUCUUUUGAGUUUCCUGGAGAAGGUAUAUUCAUUUUUGCUGAUUCAAUCAGUCCGUACCUCGGAAGAUCUUGGCAUGUUUAGUUAUUAUUUGCAAAUCCUACAUCAGCAGCAUUGGAAUGGUUCACAGAAAUUUUUAUAAUGCAGCUAAAAUGAAAAGCUCCAUGUGGAGGAAGCGAUGCUGCUGAGUCAACUGAAUGGAUCAUGAUAACUAGCCCUGGGUUUACUGAAGAAGUUGGCAGUUCACUUAUGACCUCAGUCUCUGGAAAAGCUGCUAGGACUUACAAGUAUAAGGCUAAAGGCAGCAAAGGCUCACUUGGCAAUCCACUCACUCCUGUUGUUUCUUGCUACUAUGAAAAUUCGUUAGGUUCAUCUCAUUUCAAACUUUCUGCAAUCUGCUUACCCUGACUGUUGUAAUCCGCCAUGGUAUUUUUCUUAGAUCUGGCUACAUCAUCUUGUCUGAUACUAAUUCAUUUCAAUAGCUAUCCUCACAAAAAAGAAAAGUAAAGACCUUCCAAAGUUCCCGAAAAAGGCCUGGCAUCUCUUUAUCUAAUGUUUGUUCAGGACUGUUGACCAAACUCGUUAGUUUACUCAAGCAUGCUAAGGACGCAUUGUAGAUUUAAACAAUACUGCAGAGACAUUAGAGGUAUGGAUCUUUUUCCCGUUAAAGCUGGCAUCUUCAGUUCUUUUUUUGACAGCUCAUAUAUGGUUUCUAACAAUUCAGGUUUAAAAAAAGGCCAUAAAUGGCAUUAGAAACGUUUUUAAGGAAUUGGGCAAAUAGAAAAGAAGCUUAAGAAUAGAAUCCGUGCGAAGUAGUCUUCAUCUCCCCUCAUUUCUUAACCAUCUAUGCAUGUAUUAAUGGUUCAAAAUGCUAAGCUCGCAACACUGCAUGGGUUUGGAUCAAUUAUAAACUAACUUGAUAUAAUGAAAUCUGGAUUUGCAGUAUUUUGGUGGCCUUAACAGCUCAACAUUCUAGCUGCGGGGAAGAGGCCCAUCAAGGACUUGAGGAGAAUGAGGAGAUGGCCCCUUGCACCGGUCCGAGCAUAUCGCCUUGCUCACGGAGGUGGCAUACCGAUUAGAUCACAGUGACAUAGUGGUGUUGCAAAAUCAAGAUGACACGGUGGAAGAAUAGCAAUAGAAACCACCGAUUGUAAAG